AGAGAGAGACAUGCGCGCAUAUCAAUAAGCGGAGGAAAAGAAACUAACAAGGAUCCCCUUAGUAACGGCGAGUGAAGCGGGAAGAGCUCAAAUUUGAAAUCUUCAAGGUUCUACCUUGACGAAUUGUAGUUUAUAGAAGUGUUUUCUGUUAGUGGAGUGGCAAAAGUUCUUUGGAAUAGGACAUCAUAGAGGGUGAGAAUCCCGUAUUUGGUCAUUCCUCCUAGCGUUGUGAUACACUUUCAACGAGUCGGAUUGUUUGGGAAUGCAGUCCAAAAUGGGUGGUAAAUUUCAUCUAAAGCUAAAUAUUGGCGAGAGACCGAUAGCGAACAAGUACCGUGAGGGAAAGAUGAAAAGAACUUUGAAAAGAGAGUUAAACAGGUACGUGAAAUUGUCAAAAGGGAAGCGUUUGACACCAGUGUUGUUUUUCCGAGAAUCAAUUACGAAUGUUUUAUUUUUGAGGAGUUAUGACUUCAUCGGCUUGCUCCUUUCUUUAUGAAACUUUCUUAAUGCACUUUUCGGUUAACAAGUCAACAUCAAUUUCUUUUGUUGUAAAAGGGUAUGAGGAAGGUGGCUUUCUUUUCGGAGAAAGUGUUUAUAGCCUCGUGCCUCUGCAAUCGGAGAGAUUGAGGUCUGCAGCGUAGAUCCUUCGGGGUUAGAUACGUUUGUGCUAAGUUAUAGCUUUUCAUAGACAACCUGUUGACUAUGUUUAGUCUUGUAGCUUACUCGCUUAUGCUAUUUUACCUACGCUUAGGAUGUUGAUAGUCACAGCGUGUAC
Molecule: ribosomal RNA, 775 nt
Filed under: uncultured Neocallimastigales
Lineage: Eukaryota; Fungi; Neocallimastigomycota; Neocallimastigomycetes; Neocallimastigales
Description: partial large subunit ribosomal RNA
Rfam family: Eukaryotic large subunit ribosomal RNA
Source: RNAcentral